RNAcentral lists this ribosomal RNA (254 nucleotides) under uncultured bacterium. RNAcentral describes it as "partial 16S ribosomal RNA". It matches the Rfam family "Bacterial small subunit ribosomal RNA", at positions 524 to 777 of the family's 1533-position model. The record is from RNAcentral.
UACAGAGGUCUCAAGCGUUGUUCGGAUUCAUUGGGCGUAAAGGGUGCGUAGGCGGCGCGGUAAGUCGGGUGUGAAAUCUUGGAGCUUAACUCCGAAACUGCAUUCGAUACUGCCGUGCUUGAGGACUGGAGAGGAGACUGGAAUUUACGGUGUAGCGGUGAAAUGCGUAGAUAUCGUAAGGAAGACCAGUGGCGAAGGCGGGUCUCUGGACAGUUCCUGACGCUGAGGCACGAAGGCCAGGGGAGCAAACGGGG